RNAcentral lists this ribosomal RNA (406 nucleotides) under uncultured bacterium. Its description in RNAcentral is "partial 16S ribosomal RNA". It matches the Rfam family "Bacterial small subunit ribosomal RNA", at positions 30 to 526 of the family's 1533-position model. The record is from RNAcentral.
AUUGAACGCUGGCGGCAGGCCUAACACCUGCAAGUCGAACGAGUGGCGGACGGGUGAGUCAUGUCUGGGAAACUGCCUGAUGGAGAGGGAUAACUACUGGAAACGGUAGCUAAUACCGCAUACCAUCGGAUGUGCCCAGAUGGGAUUAGCUAGUAGGUGGGGUAACGGCUCAACUAGGGGACUUUCCCUAGCUGGUCUGAGAGGCUGACCAGCCACAGUGGAACCGGGACACGGUCCAGAUCCCUACGGGAGGCAGAAUUGGGGAAUAUUGCACAAUGGGCGCAAGCCUGAUGCAGCCAUGCCGCGUGUAUGAAGAAGGCCUUCGGGUUGUAAAGUACUUUCAGCGGGGAGGCGUUACCCGCAGAAGAAGCACCGGCUAACUCCGUGCCAGCAGCCGCGGUAAUUC